Molecule: ribosomal RNA, 498 nt
Filed under: uncultured bacterium
Lineage: Bacteria
Description: partial 16S ribosomal RNA
Rfam family: Bacterial small subunit ribosomal RNA
Source: RNAcentral
GACGAACGCUGGCGGCGUGCCUAAUACAUGCAAGUCGAACGAGAGCAACCGGUGCUUGCACUGGUCAAUCUAGUGGCGAACGGGUGAGUAACACGUGGGUAACCUGCCCAUCAGAGGGGGAUAACAUCCGGAAACGGAUGCUAAAACCGCAUAGGUCUUCGAACCGCAUGGUUUGAAGAGGAAAAGAGGCGCAAGCUUCUGCUGAUGGAUGGACCCGCGGUGCAUUAGCUAGUUGGUGAGGUAACGGCUCACCAAGGCCGUGAUGCAUAGCCGACCUGAGAGGGUGAUCGGCCACAUUGGGACUGAGACACGGCCCAAACUCCUACGGGAGGCAGCAGUAGGGAAUCUUCCGCAAAGGACGCAAGUCUGACGGAGCAACGCCGCGUGAGUGAAGAAGGUUUUCGGAUCGUAAAACUCUGUUGUUAGAGAAGAACAAGUGCUAGAGUAACUGUUAGCGCCUUGACGGUAUCUAACCAGAAAGCCACGGCUAACUACGUG